Non-coding RNA from Thermoactinomyces vulgaris, 181 nucleotides. Lineage: Bacteria; Bacillati; Bacillota; Bacilli; Caryophanales; Thermoactinomycetaceae. The record is from Rfam.
CGAGUCCUGCGAUGUUCGUGACACCCGAAAGUUUUGAGCCAACACGAUGACAAAGGGAGCUUGAAGUCACCCGAGGGAGUGGAAGCCACCGCCGAGUGGACCCAUGAACUGCGGGUUCAGGGCACCCACCUGCUGAUGAGGCAGGUUCAAAACUGACGGAGCACGGCAUAAUGGGGCUCCU